RNAcentral lists this ribosomal RNA (301 nucleotides) under uncultured bacterium. Its description in RNAcentral is "partial 16S ribosomal RNA". It matches the Rfam family "Bacterial small subunit ribosomal RNA", at positions 509 to 807 of the family's 1533-position model. The record is from RNAcentral.
CAGUAGCCGCGGGAAUACGUAGGGUGCAAGCGUUAAUCGGAAUUACUGGGCGUAAAGCGUGCGCAGGCGGUUCCGCAAGACAGAUGUGAAAUCCCCGGGCUCAACCUGGGACCUGCAUUUGUGACUGUAUAGCUAGAGUACGGUAGAGGGGGAUGGAAUUCCGCGUGUAGCAGUGAAAUGCGUAGAUAUGCGGAGGAACACCGAUGGCGAAGGCAAUCCCCUGGACCUGUACUGACGCUCAUGCACGAAAGCGUGGGGAGCAAACAGGAUUAGAUACCCGGGUAGUCCCUGUCUCUUAUAC